RNAcentral lists this ribosomal RNA (512 nucleotides) under uncultured bacterium. Its description in RNAcentral is "partial 16S ribosomal RNA". It matches the Rfam family "Bacterial small subunit ribosomal RNA", at positions 355 to 858 of the family's 1533-position model. The record is from RNAcentral.
UGGGGAAUUUUGGACAAUGGGGGAAACCCUGAUCCAGCCAUCCCGCGUGUGCGAUGAAGGCCUUCGGGUUGUAAAGCACUUUUGGCAGGAAAGAAACGUCGCGGGUUAAUACCCCGCGAAACUGACGGUACCUGCAGAAUAAGCACCGGCUAACUACGUGCCAGCAGCCGCGGUAAUACGUAGGGUGCAAGCGUUAAUCGGAAUUACUGGGCGUAAAGCGUGCGCAGGCGGUUCGGAAAGAAAGAUGUGAAAUCCCAGAGCUUAACUUUGGAACUGCAUUUUUAACUACCGGGCUAGAGUGUGUCAGAGGGAGGUGGAAUUCCGCGUGUAGCAGUGAAAUGGCGUAGAUAUGCGGAGGAACACCGAUGGCGAAGGCAGCCUCCUGGGAUAACACUGACGCUCAUGCACGAAAGCGUGGGGAGCAAACAGGAUUAGAUACCCUGGUAGUCCACGCCCUAAAGCGAUGUCAACUAGCUGUUGGGGCCUUCGGGCCUUGGUAGCGCAGCUAACGC